GAUGAACGCUGGCGGCGUGCCUAAUACAUGCAAGUCGAGCGAACAGACGAGGAGCUUGCUCCUCUGACGUUAGCGGCGGACGGGUGAGUAACACGUGGAUAACCUACCUAUAAGACUGGGAUAACUUCGGGAAACCGGAGCUAAUACCGGAUAAUAUAUUGAACCGCAUGGUUCAAUAGUGAAAGACGGUUUUGCUGUCACUUAUAGAUGGAUCCGCGCCGCAUUAGCUAGUUGGUAAGGUAACGGCUUACCAAGGCAACGAUGCGUAGCCGACCUGAGAGGGUGAUCGGCCACCCUGGAACUGAGACACGGUCCAGACUCCUACGGGAGGCAGCCGUAGGGAAUCUUCCGCAAUGGGCGAAAGCCUGACGGAGCAACGCCGCGUGAGUGAUGAAGGUCUUCGGAUCGUAAAACUCUGUUAUUGGGGAAGAACAAAUGUGUAAGUAACUAUGCACGUCUUGACGGUACCUAAUCAGAAAGCCACGGCUAACUACGUG
Molecule: ribosomal RNA, 497 nt
Filed under: uncultured bacterium
Lineage: Bacteria
Description: partial 16S ribosomal RNA
Rfam family: Bacterial small subunit ribosomal RNA
Source: RNAcentral